RNAcentral lists this ribosomal RNA (354 nucleotides) under uncultured bacterium. Its description in RNAcentral is "bacterial SSU rRNA". It matches the Rfam family "Bacterial small subunit ribosomal RNA", at positions 8 to 350 of the family's 1533-position model. The record is from RNAcentral.
AGAGUUUGAUCCUGGCUCAGGAUGAACGCUAGCUACAGGCUUAACACAUGCAAGUCGAGGGGAAACGACAUCGAAAGCUUGCUUUUGAUGGGCGUCGACCGGCGCACGGGUGAGUAACGCGUAUCCAACCUGCCCACCACUUGGGGAUAACCUUGCGAAAGUAAGACUAAUACCCAAUGACGUCUCUAGAAGACAUCUGAAAGAGAUUAAAGAUUUAUCGGUGAUGGAUGGGGAUGCGUCUGAUUAGCUUGUUGGCGGGGUAACGGCCACCAAGGCGACGAUCAGGUAGGGGUUCUGAGAGGAAGGUCCCCCGACAUUGGAACUGAGACACGGUCAAACUCGUACCCGGAGGCA